RNAcentral lists this ribosomal RNA (252 nucleotides) under uncultured bacterium. Its description in RNAcentral is "partial 16S ribosomal RNA". It matches the Rfam family "Bacterial small subunit ribosomal RNA", at positions 524 to 776 of the family's 1533-position model. The record is from RNAcentral.
UACGUAGGGGCAAGCGUUGUCCGGAUUUAUUGGGCGUAAAGAGCGUGUAGGCGGUCUGGUAGGUCCGUUGUGAAAACUCGAGGCUCAACCUCGAGACGCCGAUGGAAACCAUCAGACUAGAGUCCGGAAGAGGAGAGUGGAAUUCCUGGUGUAGCGGUGAAAUGCGCAGAUAUCAGGAAGAACACCCGUGGCUAAGGCGGCUCUCUAGUACGGUACUGACGCUGAGACGCGAAAGCGUGGGGAGCGAACAGG